AUUGAACGCUGGCGGAAUGCUUUACACAUGCAAGUCGAACGGCAGCACGGACUUCGGUCUGGUGGCGAGUGGCGAACGGGUGAGUAAUGUAUCGGAACGUGCCCAGUCGUGGGGGAUAACGUAGUGAAAAUUACGCUAAUACCGCAUACGAUCUAUGGAUGAAAGCGGGGGAUCGCAAGACCUCGCGCGAUUGGAGCGGCCGAUAUCAGAUUAGGUAGUUGGUGGGGGAAAGGCCCACCAAGCCAACGAUCUGUAGCUGGUCUGAGAGGACGACCAGCCACACUGGAACUGAGACACGGUCCAGACUCCUACGGGAGGCAGCAGCGGGGAAUUUUGGACAAUGGGCGAAAGCCUGAUCCAGCCAUUCCGCGUGCAGGAUGAAGGCCCUCGGGUUGUAAACUGCUUUUGUACAGAACGAAAAGGUUUCUACUAAUACUAGGAGCUCAUGACGGUACUGUAAGAAUAAGCACCGGCUAACUACGUGCCAGCCGCCGCUGUAA
RNAcentral lists this ribosomal RNA (500 nucleotides) under uncultured bacterium. RNAcentral's name for it is "partial 16S ribosomal RNA". It matches the Rfam family "Bacterial small subunit ribosomal RNA", at positions 30 to 523 of the family's 1533-position model. The record is from RNAcentral.